CCUACGGGAGGCUGCAGUGGGGAAUAUUGCACAAUGGGGGAAACCCUGAUGCAGCGACGCCGCGUGAGUGAAGAAGGAAUUCGUUAUGUAAAGCUCUAUCAGCAGGGAAUAAAAUGACGGUACCUGAGUAAGAAGCCCCGGCUAACUACGUGCCAGCAGCCGCGGUAAUACGUAGGGGGCAAGCGUGAUCCGGAUGUACUGGGUGGAAAGGGAGCGUAGACGGGAGUGCAAGUCUGCAGUGAAAGGCGGGGGCUCAACCCCCGGACUGCUCUGGAAACUGUACGGCUGGAGUGCAGGAGAGGUAAGCGGAAUUCCUAGUGUAGCGGUGAAAUGCGUAGAUAUUAGGAGGAACACCAGUGGCGAAGGCGGCUUACUGGACUGUAACUGACGUUGAGGCUCGAAAGCGUGGGGAGCAAACAGGAUUAGAUACCCUGGUAGUC
Molecule: ribosomal RNA, 440 nt
Filed under: uncultured bacterium
Lineage: Bacteria
Description: partial 16S ribosomal RNA
Rfam family: Bacterial small subunit ribosomal RNA
Source: RNAcentral